RNAcentral lists this long non-coding RNA (1721 nucleotides) under Apis dorsata (giant honeybee). RNAcentral describes it as "uncharacterized LOC102676910". Lineage: Eukaryota; Metazoa; Arthropoda; Insecta; Hymenoptera; Apidae. The record is from RNAcentral.
UUGUUGGAAAAAAAGAAUCGUUCCUUCUUCUUUUUCGUCGUUUAAUUUUGAACGAAAACAGGAAUGAGAAGGAAUGUAAGUUAUUUGUUAAUAUAGCGCAGAGGCGUGGAAGACCUGCUGCGAACGCCGAACGCGUCAAAAAGAUCGUAUAAUCAGGGACGAACCAAUAUUUUUCGACGGAGGGUUAAACGAGGAGCAAGAAGGCGAUCCCUUACCUUCUCGUAUAACACACAUUCUUUCCUCGACGCCCGCUGCGUUGCCUACCGGAAAAGAGAGGGGAAACGGCGUCCUCCAUUCUUCGAAGCGAAUCCUAUAUAUCGGCGGAGUAUUUUGCCAUCCAUCGUCGUUCGAAUCGUAUAUAAUGCGAACCAUCAAAAUGCGCUUAAACCAGGUCGAGUUAUUACCACGGCAAAUACGCGAUACGGUUCACGAGGGCACGAUGCCACACUGUAAAUCACUCGUAUACUCUCUCUCUCUCUCUCUCUCUCUCUUCGACACGCAUUGGGUGACUGUUUGUCCCAUCCUUUCUCGUCCCAUUAAUAUUUAGAUUACCUUUUAUUCAUGUGAUUCAAGAUCCAGUGAGUCGGUAUCGAAACAGCAUUGAAAAUCCUUCAAGAAUGUAAUAAAGUAAUCUUGAAAAUUUUUCAGAGAGAAGAAACAAGAAAAGAUACACAAGAAAAAAACUACGAAACGAUAGAAAUUAACGAAGCGCGAGGAAAUUUAUACUCGGGUUGGUUCGGAAAUUGUUCGGGUAUGAUCGGCUCGCGUCGGGUCGCUCGAGUUAGAAAUUAUAUUCGGGUCGAGUCGGCUCGGUUCGACGGUAAUCGGCUUCUCGAUGGAAAUACACACACUUAGUUGUUUCUAAACACUUUGAAUCGACGGUCGUAUUCGAGCUUCGUCUCAAAAAUAUUAUUUGAAUUUUCUGGCAAAAAUCUCACGAAAUUCACGAAAUAUCUUCGAUAUCCCGACCCGAUCCCGAAAAACUUUCCAACUUGUAUUAUUUUUGGAUUCUUGGACAUCUUUGAAUACAUCAGCGAUGAAUACAUAGGCGAUCGAACGAAACGGCGUAGAUUCUGACGGAUUAUAUUGACUCGUGAACGGGAUGAAUAAGCAACCGUUGGAAGUGUAUCGAAGCCGUAAGAUGACGAUGCUUUACGAUCGAAGAUAACGCGCUGAAGACUAUACGCCAAUUUCAAGCCGCGUUCUUUCCCCCCGGAGGGAUUAAUCGGGCCUCGUUUAAAACGUUGGCCGCAACGUUCUUCCAUUUUUUAAAUCCUCCCAUGGCAUCAUCCCAUAGCCGUCGUCCCGGUUUCGAAGUGGUUCCACGCUCUCUCUCGCACGUACACGGAUAUACGUAUCGACGUACACUUUGAAAAACAGUGUGUAUACCUCGGUGUGUAUACAUUGGCGAGCCACUACCGUUCGCGUGCAGGUAUAGCCAUAUCCAUCCCGGUGGAACACUCUUUACCGCGGUCGAUUCAUAAUCGUUUCACGGGAAAGCAAUUUCUCGGCCGAAAGGACGAUCGUUUUCCUGGCCCCAAGGCAGGCCACGAGUUUGCCACGCACGCAGGGACGAUGAAAUGGAAUUGAAAACGGAUGGAAUGGAGAAAAUUCACGACUGUCGUUUCCAAAAAUUAUUCUCGUCGAUACCACGCAAACGACUAUACAUUUCAUCAUUACUGGCGGCGAAACAAUCUUAAUAAGAUAUCCUUCACAAGAUA